AUGUCACCCAGGAUCAGAACUGUUGCUCCUAGUUCCGAUGUUCUGAAGAUGGAGACUUCAGACAAGAAUGGGUAUCAGUUGAUGGAUGUUGCCUACCACAUCGACUUUGACGGUUGCAUCAACCUAACUACUGGGUGGAAGGAGUUUGUGGCAGAGUCUGGAUUUGAGGAUGGUGAUGUGGUUACGGAUGCACUCGCUAGGGUUCCUUUGCUGUUGAACGAGCGUUUGGCGGCAGUGAUACUGGAUUGCGUGGCGGAUUUUGUGUUUGCUGUUAAUGACAGGCAUGGUGUUCCUGAGGACAUUGCUGAUGUUGUUAAAGAUAUUAAUGAUGGAAUGUAUUCUCUUAACGUUGAUGAUGGUGAUGGCAGCUUGCAAUUGUCUGUUACCUAG
Molecule: ribosomal RNA, 390 nt
Filed under: Triticum aestivum (bread wheat)
Lineage: Eukaryota; Viridiplantae; Streptophyta; Magnoliopsida; Poales; Poaceae
Description: partial small subunit ribosomal RNA
Source: RNAcentral